Long non-coding RNA from Sesamum indicum (sesame), 359 nucleotides. RefSeq lists it as uncharacterized. NCBI's taxonomy places the organism in Eukaryota, Viridiplantae, Streptophyta, Magnoliopsida, Lamiales, Pedaliaceae. The record is from RefSeq and is a predicted model, not a curated record.
AUAUAUAUGUGUGUAUAUACUUUUGUCUUUACCUUCUUCACCCUAUAAUAUAUCAUUAUUAUUUCCGAAAGGAAGUGCGGAAUGCAGCGUUUAAGUUUGACAACUCUUCUUCUACUCUUACUUCUUCUCUACAAUGUUGGUGUAGAGGUUAAGGCUCAGAAGUGCACAGAGGAAAUCCCUUCACCUGGGACACAGUUAUGCGACAAAGAGGGUUGCAGCGCUGAGUGUAAGAGAAGACACGGAAAUUUGACCAGUGGACGUUGUUUGUUCGUCGAUACUUGUGUUUGCACCUAUGCUUGUCGUGGAUAUUAAUCCUAUUCUACUGCAUUGGAAUCAAAUAAAAUCGAGAUUUUCAUUUA